RNAcentral lists this ribosomal RNA (404 nucleotides) under uncultured bacterium. RNAcentral's name for it is "bacterial SSU rRNA". It matches the Rfam family "Bacterial small subunit ribosomal RNA", at positions 356 to 776 of the family's 1533-position model. The record is from RNAcentral.
GGGGGAUAUUGCACAAUGGGGGGAACCCUGAUGCAGCGACGCCGCGUGAGUGAAGGAGUACUACGGUAUGUAAAGCUCUAUCAGCAGGGAAGAAGCAAGACGGUACCUGACCAAGAAGCCCCGGCUAACUACGUGCAAGCAGACGCGGUAAUACGUAGGGGGCGAGCGUUAUCCGGAUUCACUGGGUGUAAAGGGAGCGUAGACGGCAUGGCAAGUCUGGAGUGAAAGCCCAGGGCCCAACCCCGGGACUGCUCUGGAAACUGGUAUGCUAGAGUGCUGGAGAGGUAAGUGGAAUUCCUAGUGUAGCGGUGAAAUGCGUAGAUAUUAGGAGGAACACCAGUGGCGAAGGCGGCUUACUGGACAGUGACUGACGUUGAGGCUCGAAAGCGUGGGGAGCAAACAGG